CUAGUUUAGUUUUUCUAUGUUUAGGUUUGGGUGUUGGACUCUCAAUUGGAGGCAGGUGUUUUUAGUUGCCUCUGAUUGAGAGUCCUAUAUAUAGGUGUGUGUUUGGUUUUUGUGGGUAGUUGUAUUUGCACUGCUUGUAGUUAUAGCCUGCAAAUCUGUUAGCUGUCGUUUGUUUUUUCCGUGUUCGCUAUAAUACAUAUAAUUAUGAGCACGCACCCCGCUGCGCCUUGGUCUCUACAUUACGACACCUGUGACACAAGUUUACUGGAUGUCCUUUGGGUGGUGGACCAUUCUUGAUACAAAUGGGAAAUUGUUGAGCUUGAAAAACCCAGCAUGGUUACAGUUCUUGACACACUCAAACCGGUGCGCCUGGCACCUACUACCAUACCCCGUUCAAAGUCAUUUAAAUAUUUUGUCUUGCCAUUCACCCUCCGAAUGGCACACAUACACAGUCCAUGUCUCAAUUGUCUCAAGGCUUAAAAAUAAUUUUUAACCUGUCUCCUCCCCUUCAUUUAUACUGAUUGAAGUGGAUUUAAAAGGUGACAUCAAUAAGGGUCAUAGCUUUCACCUGGAGUCACCUGACCAGUCUAUGUCUUGGAAAGAGCAGGUGUGCUUAAUGAUUUGAACACUCAGUGUUUGCUCCUAUCGUCUCCUAUCUUCUCUUAUCGGCUCCUAUCGUCUCCUAUCUUCUCUUAUCGGCUCCUAUAUUCUCUUUACAACUCCUAUCGACUCUUAUAUUCUCUUUACGACUGCUAUCGACUCUUAUAUUCUCUUUACGACUCCUAUCGACUCUUAUAUUCUCUUUACGACUCCUAUCGACUCUUAUAUUCUCUUUACGACUCCUAUCGACUCUUAUAUUCUCUUUACGACUCUUAUCGACUCUUAUAUUCUCUUAACGACUCUUAUCGUCUACUAUCGACUCCUAUAUUCUCUUAACGACUCCUAUAGACUCCUAUCUUCUCUUAUCGACUCCUAUCGACUCCUAUUGACUCCUAAUCUCUCUUCUGUAUUGCAGACUACAUUGAAAUAAUACACUAACAGAAUGUCUGUUUACCUUUUUCAUAAUGACACACACACACUACAGUAUACACACACACACAGUACACGCACACACUACAGUACUGGUAAGUGCACGAGGGGCCUUCACACGGCCUGUCUCAGUUUAUGUAGAUGACACAAAACAUGUAAGCGGUGCGAGUGAACAUCCUUGUCCAAUCCCUCCAAUCAAGAGUGUGCUGAGACCAGAUGUGUUGCCAAACGAAUUCAACACUUCUAUCAGGUGAGAAAUCGCAAGUGCUUCAGUUACCCGGGUGCAUCUCAAUAGUAUAAUGUGGCUUCCUCUCUUCGUCUCGUCUCCAUCAGCUACAUAAGAUAGAGUGGGUGAAUGCACAUGGUGGAUUCCUACCAGGGAGUUCCUUUCUGCUGUCAUGUGUUUUCACAUCAGUGCAAAGGAAAGCAGAGGACACUGCUUUAAACUGAUGAUAUGCACCGCUGGUCUUGGGUCGCUAGCGUACCUGUAGACGUCCAGUCAUUGCACUAACGCUAGUUAGCAUUGGCUCGCGAAACUACCUCUAAUUUCCUUCAUACUGCAAGCAGACAUAAAAACGCAGAGACACAAAAUGAAUUGCCAGAAUCUUGCAGUAUCCCUUUAAAUACGACACACGCUUAACCUUCCACAUACUGUAUGUGCUCUCACUUAUCCUGUGUGAUCUGAUUUAAGUGCACACAGGUCCUUCUGGGGGAAGAGAGGGUUACGGACGCCGUCGUCCCAGAGGCACAUUGACCCAGUGCUGAACCAGUCACCUGGAUGGAAGGUACGUCAAAAGGAAAAGGUCACCUUGAUGGAAGGAACGUCGGAGGAAAUGGUCACCUUGGUGGAAGGAAUGUGAGAAGAACGAUCACCUUGAUGGAAGGAAUGUCGGAGGAAACAGUCACCUUGAUGGAAGGAAUGUGAAAGGAACAAUCACCUUGAUGGAAGGUAUGUCCGAGGAAACGGUCACCUUGAUGGAAGGAAUGUGAGAGGAACAAUCACCUUGAUGGAAGGACCGUCGAAGAAAACGGUCACCUUGAUGGCAGGAACGUUGAAGGAAAUGGUCACUUGGAUGGAAGGAACGUAGAGGGAAACGGACACCUGGAUGGAAGGAACGUCUGAGGAAACAGUCACAUGGAAGGAAUGUCUGAGGAAACGGUCACCUGGAUGGAAGGAACGUCUGCGGAAACGGUCACCUGGAUGGAACAUCUGAGGAAACGGUCACCUGGAUGGAAGGAACGUCUGAGGAAACGGUCACCUGGAUGGAACAUCUGAGGAAACAGUCACAUGGAAGGAAUGUCUGAGGAAACGGUCACCUGGAUGGAAGGAACGUCUGCGGAAACGGUCACCUGGAUGGAACAUCUGAGGAAACGGUCACCUGGAUGGAAGGAACGUCUGAGGAAACGGUCACCUGGAUGGAAGGAACGUCUGAGGAAACGGUCACCUGGAUGGAACAUCUGAGGAAACAGUCACCUGGAUGGAAGGAACUUCUGAGGAAACGGUCACCUGGAUGGAAGGAACGUUGGAGGAAACGGUCACCUGGAUGGAACAUCUGAGGAAACAGUCACCUGGAUGGAAGGAACGUCUGAGGAAACGGUCACCUGGAUGGAAGGAACGUUGGAGGAAACGGUCACCUGAAUGGAAGGAACGUCUGAGGAAACGGUCACCUGGAUGGAAGGAACGUCUGAGGAAACGGUCACCUGGAUAGAAGGAACGUUGGAGGAAACAUUGUCGGGAGAUGCAGCGGUGAAAUACAAGGAGGGUUAUGAGAAAUCCAAGGGCCCAGAACCUCUUCAUCCCUGAUGUAGAGGUGCAGCAUUCCAAGAACAUCCACGCUUUCAUCUCUGAGGCCAAGUACAAGGAGGCAGAGAAGCAGCAGUUCUCCACUUCUCUCUACUCAAAGCUUCCAGAGACUUUGGACACUCAGCAUGACAAAGAGGCCUCCCAGCUACAGAGCGUGGAAGUGAUGUCACUGAGUAUUGCCCCUAUAUAUAGGACCUUCCACCCCCACCUGGGAUAUAGAUGCCUGAUGAAGACCUAGGGGUUGAAAUGUUGUAAAGAAAUAUCACCUGGGAGCAUGAGCAACAGUGUGCAGCGUUUUCCUUUCUGUUUUCCAUGAGUUUGCCUACAACUCCAGCACCUGCGGAAUGUACCAGGAUGCCUCCUGCAAGCAGACAGCCCUGCUGAGGGAGAACUCGUAUUGAACGGUGACCGAGACGCAUCAGAACUACUGCACGCCGCCUACCUGAAAGAUGUCUACAGUCAGUGUCAGUAGACUUGGGACUCAAAGCUGCUGAAAAGCCUGAUGUCCUCUGUCACCGACACUCCGGAAAUCAUCUUCGCCAGGGAGAACAAAGAAAAUCAGUGACGUGAAGCAUAAAAAGCAGCUCCAGGCCACCAGUGUGGGAGUCACCCCAGAGUUGGAGAGAGUCCAUCAGAACCAGGAGAACAUCAGCUCAGCAAGUCACAUAGGAAGCAUCUGAAAUGGCAACCUACAGUAUAUGUGCAGUACCAGCGCGGGAUGAAGGAGAUGAAGGGGCGGUCCUGCGGCGAGUUGGACACGCCCGGACUGAGUAGUGUCAGGGAGUCCCAGAACGACAUCUAACACGACUGAAGCGCACCGCGUGUGGGACUGCUGCACUUUUAACCCACACAGCUAAAGAGUUAACAGCAUGGCUGAUUCCUUGUUAUGAGGGAGCCGUAAUGAAUGUACUGUAUUGUGUCUGUGAACGUGUCUGUGAACGUGUCUGUGAGCGUGUCUGUGAGCGUUACUAAUAAAAUGAUUUUUACAUGGUUUCUUGUGAUGAAUUUUUUUGCAUACUGGCCAAAAUACACCCUUUGCUCUCUGACCAACAUGCACAAAGGUUGUGUGUGUGUGUGUGUGUGUGUGUGUGUGUGUGUGUGUGUGUGUGUGUGUGUGUGUGUGUGCUUGACAGCCGAUUUGCCUGGUGUAACACGAUUUCACAAAUGUGUAAAUGUACAUCAAUAAUGUUCCUCUCAUUUAGCUGCCACACACAACUGAGUUGUUAUCGCGAUGCUGAAAGUGUACCACCCAUAUUUGCUU
Salmo salar (Atlantic salmon) is the source of this 4094-nucleotide non-coding RNA. The record is from RefSeq and is a predicted model, not a curated record. Lineage: Eukaryota; Metazoa; Chordata; Actinopteri; Salmoniformes; Salmonidae.